Non-coding RNA from Nicotiana attenuata, 97 nucleotides. The record is from Rfam. NCBI's taxonomy places the organism in Eukaryota, Viridiplantae, Streptophyta, Magnoliopsida, Solanales, Solanaceae.
UCAGUUAUAAAAGAAGAAUCUAAAAUUGGAACGAUACCGAGAAGAUUAGCAUGGCCCCUCGCAAGGAUGCAGAAAUCAAGAAAUGGUUCAAAAAAGU